Molecule: ribosomal RNA, 280 nt
Filed under: Segatella copri DSM 18205
Lineage: Bacteria; Pseudomonadati; Bacteroidota; Bacteroidia; Bacteroidales; Prevotellaceae
Description: Prevotella copri DSM 18205 partial 16S ribosomal RNA
Rfam family: Bacterial small subunit ribosomal RNA
Source: RNAcentral
UAUGGUAAGUGCCAGCAGCCGCGGUAAUACGGAAGGUCCGGGCGUUAUCCGGAUUUAUUGGGUUUAAAGGGAGCGUAGGCCGGAGAUUAAGCGUGUUGUGAAAUGUAGAUGCUCAACAUCUGCACUGCAGCGCGAACUGGUUUCCUUGAGUACGCACAAAGUGGGCGGAAUUCGUGGUGUAGCGGUGAAAUGCUUAGAUAUCACGAAGAACUCCGAUUGCGAAGGCAGCUCACUGGAGCGCAACUGACGCUGAAGCUCGAAAGUGCGGGUAUCGAACAGG